GAGAACGUGGUGUCACUGGAUUGCAUCUCAGCUUACGAACCUGAGGGUUGAGAGUUCAAGUCCCUCCGUUCUCG
This 74-nucleotide transfer RNA is filed under the name Phormidium sp. FACHB-592. RNAcentral describes it as "tRNA-Arg". It matches the Rfam family "tRNA". From Rfam's summary of the family: Transfer RNA (tRNA) molecules are approximately 80 nucleotides in length. Their secondary structure includes four short double-helical elements and three loops (D, anti-codon, and T loops). RNAcentral also lists the same sequence under 1 other name. The record is from RNAcentral. Lineage: Bacteria; Bacillati; Cyanobacteriota; Cyanophyceae; Oscillatoriales; Oscillatoriaceae.